GGGGGUGUAACGGUUUCGACGGGGACAUUUGAAGCUGUAGAAGCGUGCCGAGGUUCCUACAGGCCUCGUUAAACAGGUAGGAAACAUAUAAUCGCAGACAACUACGAUUACGCUUUAGCCGCUUAAGACGGCUAACGUCGAAUCCGGAUCUCCUGCCGGCCGGGCUAGACGUCAUUUAGGCAGGAUAGCCGAGCUUCUUUCCUGGCGGAGUAAGGCGAAUCCCUACAGGAUAGCGCGGUGCGAUCCCGCCUUCGGGAGCAAAACCAGCGUGAAGUUUCGAAAACGAAGGAUGCGCACGGAGAAACUCCAGCGGAAGGUUUUCGGACGCGGGUUCGAUUCCCGCCACCUCCACCA
Molecule: transfer-messenger RNA, 354 nt
Filed under: Syntrophaceae bacterium
Lineage: Bacteria; Pseudomonadati; Thermodesulfobacteriota; Syntrophia; Syntrophales; Syntrophaceae
Also listed under: 2 other names
Rfam family: transfer-messenger RNA
About the family: Bacterial tmRNA, also known as 10Sa RNA or SsrA, is named for its dual tRNA and mRNA-like properties.
Source: RNAcentral